RNAcentral lists this ribosomal RNA (1191 nucleotides) under Dehalococcoidia bacterium. RNAcentral's name for it is "bacterial SSU rRNA". It matches the Rfam family "Bacterial small subunit ribosomal RNA", at positions 1 to 1238 of the family's 1533-position model. Lineage: Bacteria; Bacillati; Chloroflexota; Dehalococcoidia. The record is from RNAcentral.
AACGGAGAGUUUGAUCCUGGCUCAGGAUAAACGCUGGCGGCGUGCUUCAGGCAUGCAAGUCGAACGAGCACUUUGGUGCUAGUGGCGGACGGGUGAGUAACACGUAAGUAAUCUGCCCGGAAGUGGGGAAUAACUGGCCGAAAGGCUGGCUAAUACCGCAUGUGAUGGUCCUUCCCUGGAGGGAUCAUUAAAGGCGAAAGCCGCUUCCGGAGGAGCUUGCGGCCGAUUAGCUUGUUGGUGGGGUAAUGGCCUACCAAGGCCGCGAUCGGUAGCUGGUCUGAGAGGACGGACAGCCACACGGGGACUGAGAUACGGCCCCGACUCCUACGGGAGGCAGCAGCUAGGAAUCUUGGGAAUGGGCGAAAGCCUGACCCAGCAACGCCGCGUGGGCGAUGAAGGCCUUCGGGUUGUAAAGCCCUUUUGCAGGGGAAGAUGAUGACGGUACCCUGCGAAUAAGCCACGGCUAACUACGUGCCAGCAGCCGCGGUAAUACGUAGGUGGCGAGCGUUGUCCGGAUUUACUGGGCGUAAAGGGCGUGCAGGCGGUCUGUUAAGUCUAGGGUGAAAGCUCCCGGCUCAACUGGGAGAGGUCCUUGGAUACUGGCGGACUUGAGGGAGGCAGAGGAAAGUGGAAUUCCCGGUGUAGUGGUGAUAUGCGUAGAUAUCGGGAGGAACACCAGUGGCGAAGGCGGCUUUCUGGGCCUUACCUGACGCUGAGACGCGAAAGCGUGGGGAGCGAACCGGAUUAGAUACCCGGGUAGUCCACGCCGUAAACUAUGAACACUAGGUGUGGGGGGUAUCGACCCCCUCCGUGCCGAAGCUAACGCAGUAAGUGUUCCGCCUGGGGAGUACGGCCGCAAGGCUAAAACUCAAAGGAAUUGACGGGGGCCCGCACAAGCAGCGGAGCGUGCGGUUUAAUUCGUCGCAACGCGAAGAACCUUACCAAGGCUUGACAUGCUAGUGGUACCGAUCCGAAAGGUGAGGGACCCUUCGGGGAGCUAGCACAGGUGCUGCAUGGCUGUUGUCAGCUCGUGCCGUGAGGUGUUGGGUUAAGUCCCGCAACGAGCGCAACCCCUGUUGCCAGUUGUAUUCUCUGGCGAGACUGCCCCGUAAAGCGGGGAGGAAGGCGGGGAUGACUUCAAGUCAGCACGGCCCUUACGUCUUGGGCCACUCGCACGCUACAAUGGUCGGU